GGUCAUGAGUGCCAGCGUCAAGCCCCGGCUCGCUGGCCGGCAACCCUCCCUCCGCGGCGGGGUGCCCCGGGUGACGACCAGGCCGUGCGGGCACUCCCGCGCGGCAAGCGCCGAGA
RNAcentral lists this non-coding RNA (116 nucleotides) under Xylanimonas cellulosilytica. RNAcentral's name for it is "SAM-IV sequence". It matches the Rfam family "SAM (S-adenosyl methionine) riboswitch aptamer". From Rfam's summary of the family: SAM-IV is a mRNA element that regulates gene expression via direct sensing of S-adenosylmethionine (SAM or AdoMet). SAM-IV riboswitches share conserved nucleotide positions with the previously described SAM-I riboswitches sequence analysis and molecular recognition experiments suggest that SAM-I and SAM-IV riboswitches share similar ligand binding sites, but have different scaffolds. RNAcentral also lists the same sequence under 1 other name. The record is from RNAcentral. Lineage: Bacteria; Bacillati; Actinomycetota; Actinomycetes; Micrococcales; Promicromonosporaceae.